UCGUAGGUGACCUGCGGA
This 18-nucleotide ribosomal RNA is filed under the name Phoma sp. ZH8-E3. Its description in RNAcentral is "partial 18S ribosomal RNA". The record is from RNAcentral. Lineage: Eukaryota; Fungi; Ascomycota; Dothideomycetes; Pleosporales; Didymellaceae.